GGUUAAGCGACUAAGCGUACACGGUGGAUGCCCUGGCAGUCAGAGGCGAUGAAGGACGUGCUAAUCUGCGAUAAGCGUCGGUAAGGUGAUAUGAACCGUUAUAACCGGCGAUUUCCGAAUGGGGAAACCCAGUGUGUUUCGACACACUAUCAUUAACUGAAUCCAUAGGUUAAUGAGGCGAACCGGGGGAACUGAAACAUCUAAGUACCCCGAGGAAAAGAAAUCAACCGAGAUUCCCCCAGUAGCGGCGAGCGAACGGGGAGGAGCCCAGAGCCUGAAUCAGUGUGUGUGUUAGUGGAAGCGUCUGGAAAGGCGCGCGAUACAGGGUGACAGCCCCGUACACAAAAAUGCACAUGCUGUGAGCUCGAUGAGUAGGGCGGGACACGUGGUAUCCUGUCUGAAUAUGGGGGGACCAUCCUCCAAGGCUAAAUACUCCUGACUGACCGAUAGUGAACCAGUACCGUGAGGGAAAGGCGAAAAGAACCCCGGCGAGGGGAGUGAAAA
RNAcentral lists this ribosomal RNA (504 nucleotides) under Escherichia coli. RNAcentral describes it as "partial 23S ribosomal RNA". It matches the Rfam family "Bacterial large subunit ribosomal RNA", at positions 1 to 544 of the family's 2925-position model. The record is from RNAcentral. Lineage: Bacteria; Pseudomonadati; Pseudomonadota; Gammaproteobacteria; Enterobacterales; Enterobacteriaceae.